Pan troglodytes (chimpanzee) is the source of this 4273-nucleotide long non-coding RNA. Lineage: Eukaryota; Metazoa; Chordata; Mammalia; Primates; Hominidae. The record is from Ensembl.
GGAAAGUUCUCAGCAGGUUUAGACCUCCUAGCCAAAAAGCCAAAGCCACUUCUGGGAUUUUUUUUCAAAGAGCCAGUGGUUCCACAAUGGGCCAUGGGUAGUUGUGGAAAUGGAGAGAAGUGUUUGCAGAUACAUAUUUGAGACAGAACGGACAGGGCUCGGUCACAGGUCAUGAAGGACACGAGCAGAUGCACAUUGAGAAAACCCUCCCAGCAUCCUAGGUGAACAGAGGUAUGAUUUUUUGAGAUGGUCAAGGGAGAUGCAACCCCAGAUUUUAGGGUUGGAUCUUUAUUAAUAUGUAGUAUCUAUGAGGUAUCCAAGUCCAGAAAUCGACUCACCAGUUCUGUACAGCAUUCGGUAGGGAGAUCAAAUCUGGGAUGUCUAAAGUUAAGAAUUCAGGCCAUGGUAAUGGAUUAGAUUAGAUGUACUUGAACUCAUUUUGCAAAGAAAGAGAGGGUGGGAGAUAGCGAGAGCCAGAGAGCGAGUGAGAGAGAGAGAGAGAGACAGACAGACAGACAGAGACACAAAGAUACACAAAGAGAGAAAGACAGAAAGAGAGACAGACAGACAGAUAAAGACACAGAGAAAGAGAGAGAUGGACAGAGACAGAGAAAAACAGAAAGAGAGACAGAGACAGAAGGAGAGAGAGACAGACAGAGAGAGACAGACAGGCAGACAGACAGGCAGAGAAAGAGAGUAAGACAGAUGGCAGACACACAGAGAGAGAGACAGAGACAGAUGGAGAGACAGAGAGAAAGAAAGAGAGAGACAGACAGAGGGAAAGAGACAGAGAGAAAGAGUCAGACAGAGGGAGAGAGAGAAUCAGACAGAGAGAGAGACAGACAGAGACAGAGAGAGAAACAGAUGAGGGAGAGACAGACAGGCAGAGAAAGAAAGAGAGAGAGACAGAGAUACAGGCAGACAGACAGUCAGAGAAAGAGAGUAAGACAGAUGGCAGACACACACACACAGAGAGAGACAGAGACAGAUGGAGAGACAGAGAGAAAGAAAGAGAGAGACAGACAGAGGGAAAGAGACAGAGAGAGAAAGAGACAGACAGAGGGAGAGAGAGAACCAGACGGAAAGAGAGAGAGAAAGACAGAGAUAGAAAGAGACAGACAGAGGGAGAGAGAGAACCAGACGGAAAGAGAGAGAGAAAGACAGAGACAGAGAGAGACAGACAGACAGGCAGAGAAAGACAGUAAGACAGAAGACAGACAAAGAGAGAGAGAGACAGGCAGAGAGAGAGACAGAGACAGAGAGACAGAGACAGAGAAACAGACAGGCAAAGAGAGAGAGAGAAAAAAACAGACAGGGAGAGAGAGACAGGCAGACAAAGCGAAUAAGACAGAAGACAGACACAGUGAGAGAGACAGAGAGAGAGACAGAGACAGCGAGACAGAGAAAGAAAGAGAGAUACAGACAGACAGACAGACAAAGAGACAGACAGAAAGAAAGAAAGAAUCAGUACAGCGACCGUGGUCGUGAAUCAUUCCCCGGAGUCCAGGCGCAGUGGCUCACGCCCGUCACGCCAGCACUUUGAGACGCCGGGCAGGAGGGUUGCAACGAAAUGAUGAGACCCCGUCUGUGGGAAAACAUUUAAAAAUGAAGGCCGGGCGCGGUGGCUCACGCCUGUCAUCCCAGCAGUUCCGGAGGCCGGGGAGGGCGGAUCACCUGAGGUCGGGAGUUCGAGACCAGCCCGAUCGACAUGGAGAAGCCCCGUCUCCACUAAAAAUACAAAAUCAGCCAGACGUGGCAGCGCACGCCCGCAAUCCCGGCUACUCAGGAGGCCGAUGCAGGAGAAUCGCUUGAAACCGGGAGGCAGAGGUUGCGGCGAGCCAAGAUCGCGCCACCGCACUGCAGUCUAGGCCACCAGAGCGAAACUCUGUCUCAGGAAAAGAAAAAAAAAAAAAAUUAAAAAUGGUCUGGGCACAGUGGCGCAUGCCUGUUGUUCCAGGUACUGUACUCUGGAGGCUGAGGUGGAAGGAUCACUGGAGUCCAGGAGCGUCCACGCUGCAGUGAAUGAGUUAUGAUGGCACCACUGCCAGGGUGACAGAGUUAGAUGCUGUGUCUAAAUCAGUCAAUCAGAUCACUGGAAGGCACUUUCUGUGUCUUACUUUCAAAGGGUGUCCCUUUAGGCCAAGCAAGCAGGGUGCCUCAUGCCAGUCAUCCCAGCACUUUGGCAGGCCAAGGCAGGAUGAAAGAAGGAAGGGAGGAAGGGAGGAAAGAAGAAAGGCAGGAUGGCAGUAAGGCAGGAAAGAAGAAAGAAGGAAGGAAGGAAAGAAAGAAAGAAAGAAAGAAAGAAAGAAAGAAAGAAAGAGAGAGAGAAAGAAAGAAAGAAAGAGAGAAAAAGAAAGAAGAGAGAAAGAAAGAAGAAAGAAACAAAAGGAAGGAAGAAAGAAAGAAAGAAAGAAAGAAAGAAAGAAAGAAAGAAAGAAAGAAAGAAAAAGAAAAGAGAAGAAAAAAGAAGAAAAGAGAAGGGAAGAGAAAAAAAGAAAAUGGGGCGAGGGCAUAUCUCCUUGACUGGUGAUGGCCCAGGAUACAGUGGAUCACAGCUGACUGAAGCCUCGACCUGUGGGGCCACAAGUGAUCUUCUCCUUAUCUCAACCUCCCGAGUAGCUGUGACUACAGAUGGCCAUCACCACGCGCAACUCAUCUUAUAAUGAUAUUAAGAUUCUAUUGGGACAGGGUCUCGCUCCGUCAUCCAGGCUGGAUCGCCACGGCACGAUCUCAGCUCAUCGCAACCUCGGCCUCCCCGGUUGGAACAACUCGCCCGCCCCAGUCUCCCGAGCGGUCGUGAUUCCAAGCCCACGCCACCAGGCCCGGCUAAUCGUUCUAUUUUUUCAGAGAGACGGGGUUUCGCCACGUCGGCCAGCCUGGUCUCGAACUCCCGGCCCCAAGCGAUCCACCGGCCUCGGCCUCCCAAAGUGCCGGAAUGACAGGCGUGAGCUAGCGUGCCCGGCCCAGAUCAUCUUUUUCAUCCAUUGUAGAGAAGGGGUUUCGUCAGCCAACGGGUGGAAGGUGGGGUGGGUUUUACUCAGCCUGCGUACUGUGAAAAGGUUAAGUGAGUGUGCUUUGUGAACUAGAUAUGGAAAUGUGUGUGUGUGUGUGUGUGUGUGUGUGUGUGUGUGUGUGUAGGAGAGAGAGAGAGAGACCAAUCCCACCACGAGGACCCGGAAAUAGUGUUUGAUCUGUGUCCCUGCCUAGUCACCUGUCUUGUGUGUAGACGACUGAGGAUUCCACAAAUGAAGGUCAGCAGUAUCUAUUGAGCUGUUUCUCCCUCUCACGCGUCUCAUCUGUGUGCUGGAGAAAGGGAAGAGAAGAGGUUCCGAUGGGAAGUUGUCUUCACGCCUGAGGCAGCUGAAGGCAGACCGAAGGGAAGGAGGGCAUCCUACGUGACAUUUCCAUACCCACGCACCCUUUACAAUGCUGGGGCCGCCAGUCCACCCCGUACGUCAGCCCACCCCCAAGAACAGCACGGUCCGGGGUGGUCCAGUCUCAUCCCAACCGGCCCACCCGGGGCAUCCGGUGGAAGUCUUCGCCGGAGGAUCCAAGGGCAGCGUCAACGCGGUUCCCCUGGGGUCGCCCGGCAAAGGCCAGCCGGGGGAGGGUAGCGGGACGUGACGGGGGCAUCCGCCUCAGAGCUCCCUGGAAGGUGGCAGGUAGCCGGUGGGGCACGCCGAGCCAGAGACGUCCGGCAGGAUAUAGAUGCGGAAGGCGUGUCAGUCCUCUCCCUAUACCUCUCCUGUGGAAAAUGCCAGGGCGGCGGUGGGAGCCUCGGCUGGGGGAGAAGCGGGGACAAGGGGGAGAGGGAAGGAGGCCCUCGGGAGGUUUCGGCACCGAAAACCCACUCAGCCAAGCUCCCUCCGUGUUUCCGCGUCCAAGGUACACCCCGGGAGACGGCAAGAGAAACGUUCACACCGUGCUUUCCGUCUUCGUGUUUAUCUCUUUCAUCUUUUCCAUUUUACGAGAGAUGCUCAUUUCAACAAGCAGACGGCGGAUGUGACGGGAGAAGUGUCAAGGCCAGGAGUUUGAGACCAGCGUGAGCAACAGAGCAACACAAGUAGGAGAGCCCAGCUGAAAGAAAUGAAAGAGGAGGAGGAGGAGGACAUGGGAGGCUGGGGGUGGGGGUAGGGGGGAGGAGAAGGAAAGAAAGAAAAGAAAAGAAAAGAAAAGAAAAGAAAAAGAAAAACAACCACCAAGAAAGUUAAAAUUCUCCAAUGGUCAGAAGUUCAAGACCAGCCUGACCAAGAUGGAGAAACCCCAUCUGUAC